Molecule: long non-coding RNA, 1230 nt
Organism: Centrocercus urophasianus (Greater sage-grouse)
Lineage: Eukaryota; Metazoa; Chordata; Aves; Galliformes; Phasianidae
Exons: 2
Source: RefSeq, a predicted model, not a curated record
AAGCCCUUCUAGAAAUGAACAGAGGCAGAGCAGCUCACUCUCCACAAAUCACCUGCUCUCCAGCUUAAGGCAAUAUUUACGGUGACACUGAGAUCAAUAUACCAUGUGAUGGUAUGGAGGUUUUGGUUCCUCAUCUCUGCAUUAAGGCAUCCAUCGCAAGAGGAGCAAUGGACUGGACUAUACACUGGUACCUGUGAUAGCUCAUCUCAGCUCCCCACAUAGAUUCAAUGGUAUUAAAAGAAGCAGAUAUGAUGCCACAACUGGCUUACUGAAUAAAGGCAUGCUGGUAGUCCUGUGAAGUGUACAGGCAAAAAGGCUUGGGCUGAGCAAGCUGCCAAAAUGGAUCCACCAGCCCUCCAUCAGAUGAACCUAUUCAUCAUCCCACAAUGAAGGAUCCUUCAGAGAAUUCACCCCUUCUUCUAACACAUGAAUACAAGAUGCAGCAGGAUUUCUUCAACAAUUAUAAAGCUUUGCAUCAUGUCUUUGACUACUGUCCAGUGAGGACUGCAGUGGAAUCAUAAACAACCUGGAUGUGCUUGAAACACACACUCCUUUCCCAGAAAUGCACUGCUUAGUGACCAUGUGCUCUGUGCCACGAGCAUCACUGAGGCAAUGCCCUGGGAAGAUGUCAGUGAGUCCACUUUCACUGGAAGACUGGGUGUAUGUGCACUGAUGUAAUGCAAUAGCACAACCAUUUGCAAGGACAUCCACAACUGCAAGUAACUGUGCCUCUGUAGGAAACAGGCAAUGCAGGAAUUUCUUGUAUUUAACCCAAACAUAAAGACUGAAAGAUACAAAAAACCUAGUGUGUGGCUGACAAAUUGGCAUAAAAACGUCUUUCAACAGUAAACUGCUUAAGUGAUAAGGAAUGUAACCGUUGUAAUACAACUACAGCCCUUGUGCUUAGCCAAGUCUUAAGAAAGCACACUAAAGGUGCAGCUAUCUCAUGUGAGCCAUGUUGCUUGAAGCUUAUUUACUAGUACUUUGAUUUUUUUUUCUUUCAGUUUAUACACUGUAUGCAAUACCAGUAAUCAUUUUGAAAGCAAUGUCUAUUGGGCACUAUAAAAUUUUGCUGCACAUUCUCACAUUUCAGCAUUGCUGGUCAUGUUUCCUUGUAACUUACAAGAUGUAGAUGUAUUAGGUUUCUAUAUAUGCACGUGUCCAUAUGUAUAUAUGUACAUGAGUCUGUGUAUAUAUACACAGCACAAAUAAAGGUAUAAUUCCAUUCAA